GAUGAACGCUGGCGGCGUGCCUAAUACAUGCAAGUCGAGCGAACGGACGAGAAGCUUGCUUCUCUGAUGUUAGCGGCGGACGGGUGAGUAACACGUGGAUAACCUACCUAUAAGACUGGGAUAACUUCGGGAAACCGGAGCUAAUACCGGAUAAUAUUUUGAACCGCAUGGUUCAAAAGUGAAAGACGGUCUUGCUGUCACUUAUAGAUGGAUCCGCGCUGCAUUAGCUAGUUGGUAAGGUAACGGCUUACCAAGGCAACGAUGCAUAGCCGACCUGAGAGGGUGAUCGGCCACACUGGAACUGAGACACGGUCCAGACUCCUACGGGAGGCAGCAGUAGGGAAUCUUCCGCAAUGGGCGAAAGCCUGACGGAGCAACGCCGCGUGAGUGAUGAAGGUCUUCGGAUCGUAAAACUCUGUUAUUAGGGAAGAACAUAUGUGUAAGUAACUGUGCACAUCUUGACGGUACCUAAUCAGAAAGCCACGGCUAACUACGUGCCAGCAGCCGCGGUAAUACGUAGGUGGCAAGCGUUAUCCGGAAUUAUUGGGCGUAAAGCGCGCGUAGGCGGUUUUUUAAGUCUGAUGUGAAAGCCCACGGCUCAACCGUGGAGGGUCAUUGGAAACUGGAAAACUUGAGUGCAGAAGAGGAAAGUGGAAUUCCAUGUGUAGCGGUGAAAUGCGCAGAGAUAUGGAGGAACACCAGUGGCGAAGGCGACUUUCUGGUCUGUAACUGACGCUGAUGUGCGAAAGCGUGGGGAUCAAACAGGAUUAGAUACCCUGGUAGUCCACGCCGUAAACGAUGAGUGCUAAGUGUUAGGGGGUUUCCGCCCCUUAGUGCUGCAGCUAACGCAUUAAGCACUCCGCCUGGGGAGUACGACCGCAAGGUUGAAACUCAAAGGAAUUGACGGGGACCCGCACAAGCGGUGGAGCAUGUGGUUUAAUUCGAAGCAACGCGAAGAACCUUACCAAAUCUUGACAUCCUUUGACAACUCUAGAGAUAGAGCCUUCCCCUUCGGGGGACAAAGUGACAGGUGGUGUAUGGUUGUCGUCAGCUCGUGUCGUGAGAUGUUGGGUUAAGUCCCGCAACGAGCGCAACCCUUAAGCUUAGUUGCCAUCAUUAAGUUGGGCACUCUAAGUUGACUGCCGGUGACAAACCGGAGGAAGGUGGGGAUGACGUCAAAUCAUCAUGCCCCUUAUGAUUUGGGCUACACACGUGCUACAAUGGACAAUACAAAGGGCAGCGAAACCGCGAGGUCAAGCAAAUCCCAUAAAGUUGUUCUCAGUUCGGAUUGUAGUCUGCAACUCGACUACAUGAAGCUGGAAUCGCUAGUAAUCGUAGAUCAGCAUGCUACGGUGAAUACGUUCCCGGGUCU
This 1372-nucleotide ribosomal RNA is filed under the name uncultured bacterium. RNAcentral describes it as "bacterial SSU rRNA". It matches the Rfam family "Bacterial small subunit ribosomal RNA", at positions 28 to 1381 of the family's 1533-position model. The record is from RNAcentral.